GGAGGAACGGGGAUAAAUCGAAGGUUCGAAACUUGAAAACCGUUUGGGGGCAACCCCACGGGGGUUCGAAUCCCUCUUCCUCCG
Molecule: transfer RNA, 84 nt
Filed under: Lachnospiraceae bacterium
Lineage: Bacteria; Bacillati; Bacillota; Clostridia; Lachnospirales; Lachnospiraceae
Description: tRNA-OTHER
Source: RNAcentral